This is a long non-coding RNA of Cyprinus carpio carpio, 3088 nucleotides long. NCBI's taxonomy places the organism in Eukaryota, Metazoa, Chordata, Actinopteri, Cypriniformes, Cyprinidae. The record is from Ensembl.
GUGCAUUUUUGUUUUUACAAUUGUUGCACAAUAUACAGCACAAGCCUGAUUUGGUGAGCUGUAUGUGAGAUUCACACAUACUCCAUUUGCAGUGUGCAUGCAGUCCAUGUGUGGUACAGAAGCGGUGCAGAAGCAGCUUUCACACAGGAGUCCACUACGAAUCCCUGGCUCUUUACCACAAACACAACAUUUAUCCAUUAUUUUGAUUUAAAAAACAAACAUUGUUACUGAAAAUGCUUUUUCAACAUUGCCAUUCUUUUUGUACAUAGUACAGUAAUGCAAUCUUUCAUAGACGUGUUUAAAUGCAAUAAAUAUAAGCAACACAUUUUUCAAUGCUUUUUACUUUUGUCUUUACUUCUAGAUUUAUAUAAGAAGUUGUGGCAAAACAUUUAAACUACUUCUCUUACAUUAUCACAAACAUUCUAAAUUAAAACUUACAAUUGACAGAAAUGGCUCUACUGCCUUUUCUUUUGCCUUUAAAUCUUUAUUACAAGCAAUCCUGCAGUUCAUAAAGAUCUUUUUUUCCUACCUCCACGAGUCCAAUCUAUACUUUCCUUGUUUAUCUAAAAGUGCUCUUUUCCUUAUAGCAAAAAUGCCGUAUGUGUUGACUGUUAAACACAGUAGACUUUAAUUAUAUGCACUGCUGUGUAAUAUGCAUAAGAAUACAAUUACCCUGCCUCAUUGUUUAAUGUAUUUAGUUAAUAUAUUAUGUCUAAGGGUGUAUUCUUUUGUUUAUUUCCUGGGAAGGCCUCAUACAGGCAAAUAUGUAACUGCUGCAUGUUGUAGAGGAAAUUCAGCAACUGUCCUAUUGCAAGUAUGCCUUUACCUUUAAAUACCUUUGUAUUUUAACCAAAUACAGUUGUUAUUGGUAUUGUUUUAUUGAGAAGGUGGUUUAUUAAGAAAUACACCACACAUUAUAUUGUAUUUGUUUUAUUGAGAAAGUGGUUUAAGUAAAACACCACACCAGUGUUAUUUUCGUUAACGAAGAUGACGACGAAAAAUAUUCGUUAACGAACAUUUUUCUGUGACUAAGAUGAGACGUUGACGAGCUAAAAAUAUUAUCUGAUGACGAAAUUAUGAAAAAAUUUAUGCCGCGCCUUCGUUAACUAGACGAGACUGGACUAUAAUGUUAUUUGAGGACUACCGGACAUUCAAAAUGCAUCCUAUAGGCUAUUGUCCUUCAAAAUGUGCGUCCCUGUCAUUGGAUUGCGAUCGGAUAAGGGGUGUUUGCAUAUCUAGUCAGUAUAGCAGCUGCAGUGGAUGGAUAGGCUAAUAAAAUGCGAACUAGCGAUCUGAAACAAUGGCCUCAGCACCCGAAGGGGUAGGGAUAAGGUAAUCAGACGUCCCGUUUUUCCCGGGAGUACGGUGUACAUUUUAGGACAUCCUCAGACCUCAGUCAUUAAAUGAAAAGGCGUCAUGCCUCAGACUAAAAGGCUUCAGUCAUUGGAAAAAACGGCAUCGCGCCUCAGACUGAAAAGCUUCAGAUCUCAGGAAAAAGGACGUCAGGUGUCAGGUCUCAUACAAUUAGGCAUCAGACGAAACGGACUCAGACAAAAAGGCAUCAGACGAAACAGACUCAGGAAAAAAGGCAUCAGACGAAAUGGACUCAGACAAAAAGGCAUCAGACGAAACGGACUAAACUCAGGAAAAAAGGCAUCAGACGAAACGGACUCAGACAAAAAGGCAUCAGACGAAACGGACUCAGGAAAAAAGGCAUCAGACGAAACGGACUCAGGUAGAGUAUCGCGUUGCCCCGCCCCAGGUGACGUCACACGCACGUGGUUCAGAGGAAGUGGUAUAUAACGGUUGAUUGAUGGCAAAAGGAGGUAAGCAGCAUCUGAUAUAUUUUAACAUUUUUAUUCAAAUGUUACACUAAUUAAGUUAUAUACGGAAGAGAACAUGCAUUUCGAGAGUCUUGUGUGCACGUUUAAAAUGUUAGUUAGCCAUAUUGCAACUAGCGAGCUUUUAUUUUGGCAAAGUGUAGUAAAAUUACCCUUACGAAAAAUAACCAUGGUUUUAUUACCAAAAAAAAAAACCCUGGUUGAUAUAGUUAAAUCAUGGUAUCCGCAGAUUAACCAUGGUUUUGCUAUACUAACCAUAGUUUAACCAUGGUGUUUGUAGUAAAACUGUGGUUAUACAAAUGGUAAUCAUUACACUAAAAAACAUGUUACUACACUUUUACUAUAAUAAAACCAUGGUCACUUUACGUCAAGGUAAAGCGAAUUCUUUCGAGCUAUUAGAUUGAAAUCUUAGUCUAAUUAUAAUAUACCUGUAUGUGUCUAACACUAGUUGUUGAAUUAAAUGAUUUUGCAAAAACAAUGGUUCUGUCUUAUAACUAAAUAUAUAUUUGUUUGUUUCAGUCAAUCAAGUUAUCGCUGACAUUUUCGGGGUAAGCGUGGCUACGGUGAGCAAGACCAUUAUCACCUGGGCUAAUUACCUGGGUUCAGUACCCAUUUAGAUGUCCAGGCAACAAAAAAGCUCCUCCAUGCCAGAGAAUUACCGUUUGUUCAAUCCAAACCUGCAUGUCAUCCUGGACUGCACAGAAAUCCGCUGUGAAAGCCCUGCAUCGCUGAUACUCCACUCUGAGAUCUUCUCCAGUUACAAGAGUACUACCACAUUCAAAGGUCUGGUUGGGGUAGCUCCAUGUGGUGCAGUGACUUUUAUCUCCCAGCUUCAAUCUCCGGUUCAACACCGGUUCAAUCUCUGACAAAGAAAUCACGAAGAAGUCCGUCAUUUUGGACCUGCUUGAGCCUGGAGAUGUGGUCAUGGCAGACAAGGGGUUCACUAUUGAAGAUAUGCUCUCCAGUGUUGGUGCUAGACUGAUCAUUCCACCUUUCAAAUGUGCCAAGCAGUUCAGCAAACAGGACUGUGAAAAAACACAGGCCAUUGCACGCCUCAGAAUUCUGGUGGAAAGGGUGAUUAGAAGGGUCAAGGAAAACCACAUAUGGGAUUCUGUUGUGCCACUCACCUUGUCAGGAAGUAUUAAUCAGAUCUGCCAUAAUUGCUGUUUUAUGGUUAAUUAUCAGGGACCAAUGUUUCUUGAGCAGUGAAUGUAUAUUAGUAUAUUACAUUUUUUAGAAUGACUGUG